Molecule: ribosomal RNA, 326 nt
Filed under: Sandonidae sp.
Lineage: Eukaryota; Cercozoa; Glissomonadida; Sandonidae
Description: SSU rRNA
Rfam family: Eukaryotic small subunit ribosomal RNA (bases 62-326)
Source: RNAcentral
GAUUUCUGGCUCGAUACAUUUUGCCGGCCACGGUUUCGUGUGUUAGUGCUUGAUGUUCUGGCCAUCCUUCCAAUCGCUAUUCAUUCUUCUUCAUUGAGGGGUGAGUGGUAUUGGAUCUUUUACUUUGAAAAAAUUAGAGUGUUUCAAGCAGGCAUGUUUUGCUAUGAAUACAUUAGCAUGGAAUAAUAAUCUAGGACUUUCGGUUCUAUUUUGUUGGUGUUCUGGAGCUGAAGUAAUGAUUGAUAGGGAUAGUUGGGGGUGCUAGUAUUCAAUGGCCAGAGGUGAAAUUCUCGGAUUCCUUGAAGACUAACUUAUGCGAAAGCAUU